RNA transcript from Drosophila eugracilis, 602 nucleotides. RefSeq lists it as uncharacterized. Lineage: Eukaryota; Metazoa; Arthropoda; Insecta; Diptera; Drosophilidae. The transcript is spliced from 2 exons. The record is from RefSeq and is a predicted model, not a curated record.
CAAGCUGAAAAUAUUCUAUAAAUAUUCUGAAAAACUCAAUCAAUUUCACAUUAAAUUUUUAACAUUAUAGUAAGCAUUCCUUAUAAAAUCACAGACAAUAGUUAAUUCUUUUCGGCUUAGAUAAAAUUUGAAAUAACAGUGAAAGAAUUCUCGGAUUCUUUGUACCCUUGAACCCCCCCUUCAACCUUAGCCAUCAUGUCUUUGGGUCGAUCUCUUGGUGGCUGGAUACUUACCACCUCCCCCCACAGUAGAAAUUUGCAUCAAAGAAGAACCCGACGACCAUUUCCUGUGGUCCCAGAUGCCAGAAUGAAUGCCCCAGUGCAGUCCUCACGUCCACCUCGUAUUCUGGUCAAGAGCUUCCUGGCUCUCCACGAACUGGACUCGGUGUACAUGAAGGAUGCUCCUCGCGAUCUUAGGGACUUCUUUAUGUCGAAUUGGAAGAUUGUGAGGACUUGAGCUUCGACUGGACUCAGAUGGAAACUGCCUUUCGUAUUGCUAAAUCCAAAGAUGUGAAAGAAAUGGCUUUGAUUUAAGAAUCAUUUAAAGCUGAACGAAUCUCGUAACAUUCACUUAUUGACAACACUAUGAAAAUCUGGUUUUAC